RNAcentral lists this transfer RNA (75 nucleotides) under bacterium. RNAcentral's name for it is "tRNA-Arg". It matches the Rfam family "tRNA". Rfam says of the family: Transfer RNA (tRNA) molecules are approximately 80 nucleotides in length. Their secondary structure includes four short double-helical elements and three loops (D, anti-codon, and T loops). RNAcentral also lists the same sequence under 10 other names. The record is from RNAcentral.
GCCCCCGUAGCUCAGCGGAUAGAGUGUCGGCCUCCGGAGCCGAAGGCACAGGUUCGAGUCCUGUCGGGGGUACCA